CGUCGCACCCUCCAUAUAUCUUCUUCUUCGCUAUCAUUUCAUCCCGGAUUCUCAAAGCAACCCUCGAGACUCAACAAUAUUCAACGAUGGUUUAAAUAAUAAGUAUUAUAAUUUUAUUCCUAAAUGAAAAUAGAAUUCGUGGAAAUAACGGGAGGUGGAUAUUAUGUACUUUUCCAUACUGACUCUACACGCUCAUUUCACUGCGGCAUACAGGCACGUUGCAUCGUUGGUACGUAAUUUUAACGAUUAGGAAAAAGCGGGACAAAGGAAAAUGUCGAGACAAAGUGAGAUAUUGUUUUAUGCAUGCUACUGCUAGUGCUAUGUAUUCUGGGUCACGAAAGUAUUUUAACAUUUGCGAUAGAAAACUACUACGCGUAGACAGGAGGCAUGGAAACAACGAGGAAAGUUCAUACCGACAUGUAUGAUAUCCCCGUCUGACCUUGUUACGAAAUUUAUAGCCAUUUUUCUGUAUCAUUAAUUCGCAACUGCUUAUCUUCGUAGAAAGUGUUCGAAGUGGCUAUCGUCGGUCUCUAUUAUUCGACAUACACCUGGAGUUUUUGAAAGACUGCGAAAUUCUCUGACACGAUAACUGCAAUUUUGCGUGUGAACCGUGGGUGGUCAUUUCGACCACCCUCUGCGAUGAUAAACUGUCGCGGAUUAUUUUAAUACAAAAGUGACUAUAAUUCUAAAACAAGGUCAGAUAGGACAUACGCUCGUACGAAGACUUUUCAUUGCCCUUAUGUCUGUCCACUACCGAAACGAA
Molecule: unclassified non-coding RNA, 763 nt
Filed under: Bombus terrestris (buff-tailed bumblebee)
Lineage: Eukaryota; Metazoa; Arthropoda; Insecta; Hymenoptera; Apidae
Description: misc RNA ENSBTSG00005025254.1
Source: RNAcentral